ACACUCCUGCGGGAGGCAGCAGUAGGGAAUCUUCCACAAUGGGUGCAAACCUGAUGGAGCAAUGCCGCGUGAGUGAAGAAGGUCUUCGGAUCGUAAAGCUCUGUUGUUAGAGAAGAACACGUGCUAGGUAACUACUAGCGCCUUGACGGUAUCUAACCAGAAAGUCACGGCUAACUACGUGCCAGCAGCCGCGGUAAUACGUAGGUGACAAGCGUUGUCCGGAUUUAUUGGGCGUAAAGGGAGCGCAGGCGGUCUGUUUAGUCUAAUGUGAAAGCCCACGGCUUAACCGUGGAACGGCAUUGGAAACUGACAGAAUUGAAUGUAGAAGAGGAAAAUGGAAUUCCAAGUGUAGCGGUGGAAUGCGUAGAUAUUUGGAGGAACACCAGUGGCGAAGGCGAUUUUCUGGUCUAACAUUGACGCUGAGGCUCGAAAGCGUGGGGAGCGAACAGGAUUAGAUACCCCGGUAGUCCCAUG
Molecule: ribosomal RNA, 474 nt
Filed under: uncultured organism
Description: partial 16S ribosomal RNA
Rfam family: Bacterial small subunit ribosomal RNA
Source: RNAcentral